AGACCCGAAACCCGGUGAUCUAGCCAUGGGCAGGUUGAAGGUUGGGUAACACUAACUGGAGGACCGAACCGACUAAUGUUGAAAAAUUAGCGGAUGACCUGUGGCUGGGGGUGAAAGGCCAAUCAAACCGGGAGAUAGCUGGUUCUCCCCGAAAGCUAUUUAGGUAGCGCCUCGUGAACUCAUCUCCGGGGGUAGAGCACUGUUUCGGCUAGGGGGCCAUCCCGGCUUACCAACCCGAUGCAAACUGCGAAUACCGGAGAAUGUUAUCACGGGAGACACACGGCGGGUGCUAACGUCCGUCGUGAAGAGGGAAACAACCCAGACCGCCAGCUAAGGUCCCAAAGUCAUGGUUAAGUGGGAAACGAUGUGGGAAGGCCCAGACAGCCAGGAUGUUGGCUUAGAAGCAGCCAUCAUUUAAAGAAAGCGUAAUAGCUCACUGGUCGAGUCGGCCUGCGCGGAAGAUGUAACGGGGCUAAACCAUGCACCGAAGCUGCGGCAGCGACACUUUAGUGUUGUUGGGUAGGGGAGCGUUCUGUAAGCCGUUGAAGGUGUCCUGUGAGGGGUGCUGGAGGUAUCAGAAGUGCGAAUGCUGACAUAAGUAACGAUAAAGCGGGUGAAAAGCCCGCUCGCCGGAAGACCAAGGGUUCCUGUCCAACGUUAAUCGGGGCAGGGUGAGUCGACCCCUAAGGCGAGGCCGAAAGGCGUAGUCGAUGGGAAACGGGUUAAUAUUCCCGUACUUGGUGUUACUGCGAAGGGGGGACGGAGAAGGCUAUGUUGGCCGGGCGACGGUAGUCCCGGUUUAAGCGUGUAGGUGUGUGUUCCAGGCAAAUCCGGUUCACUUUAACACUGAGGCGUGAUGACGAGGCACCACGGUGCUGAAGCAACAAAUGCCCUGCUUCCAGGAAAAGCCUCUAAGCAUCAGGUAACAUCAAAUCGUACCCCAAACCGACACAGGUGGUCAGGUAGAGAAUACCAAGGCGCUUGAGAGAACUCGGGUGAAGGAACUAGGCAAAAUGGUGCCGUAACUUCGGGAGAAGGCACGCUGACACGUAGGUGAAGUGAUUUACUCACGGAGCUGAAGUCAGUCGAAGAUACCAGCUGGCUGCAACUGUUUAUUAAAAACACAGCACUGUGCAAACACGAAAGUGGACGUAUACGGUGUGACGCCUGCCCGGUGCCGGAAGGUUAAUUGAUGGGGUCAGCGCAAGCGAAGCUCCUGAUCGAAGCCCCGGUAAACGGCGGCCGUAACUAUAACGGUCCUAAGGUAGCGAAAUUCCUUGUCGGGUAAGUUCCGACCUGCACGAAUGGCGUAAUGAUGGCCAGGCUGUCUCCACCCGAGACUCAGUGAAAUUGAACUCGCUGUGAAGAUGCAGUGUACCCGCGGCAAGACGGAAAGACCCCGUGAACCUUUACUAUAGCUUGACACUGAACAUUGAGCCUUGAUGUGUAGGAUAGGUGGGAGGCUUUGAAGCGUGGACGCCAGUCUGCGUGGAGCCGACCUUGAAAUACCACCCUUUAAUGUUUGAUGUUCUAACGUGGACCCGUAAUCCGGGUUGCGGACAGUGUCUGGUGGGUAGUUUGACUGGGGCGGUCUCCUCCUAAAGAGUAACGGAGGAGCACGAAGGUUGGCUAAUCCUGGUCGGACAUCAGGAGGUUAGUGCAAUGGCAUAAGCCAGCUUGACUGCGAGCGUGACGGCGCGAGCAGGUGCGAAAGCAGGUCAUAGUGAUCCGGUGGUUCUGAAUGGAAGGGCCAUCGCUCAACGGAUAAAAGGUACUCCGGGGAUAACAGGCUGAUACCGCCCAAGAGUUCAUAUCGACGGCGGUGUUUGGCACCUCGAUGUCGGCUCAUCACAUCCUGGGGCUGAAGUAGGUCCCAAGGGUAUGGCUGUUCGCCAUUUAAAGUGGUACGCGAGCUGGGUUUAGAACGUCGUGAGACAGUUCGGUCCCUAUCUGCCGUGGGCGCUGGAGAAUUGAGGGGGGCUGCUCCUAGUACGAGAGGACCGGAGUGGACGCAUCACUGGUGUUCGGGUUGUCAUGCCAAUGGCACUG
Molecule: ribosomal RNA, 2049 nt
Filed under: Salmonella enterica
Lineage: Bacteria; Pseudomonadati; Pseudomonadota; Gammaproteobacteria; Enterobacterales; Enterobacteriaceae
Description: partial 23S ribosomal RNA
Rfam family: Bacterial large subunit ribosomal RNA
Source: RNAcentral